GAUGAAGAACGUAGCGAAAUGCGAUACUUGGUGUGAAUUGCAGAAUCCCGUGAACCAUCGAGUCUUUGAACGCAAGUUGCGCCCGAAGCCACUAGGCCGAGGGCACGCCUGCCUGGGCGUCACACGUCGUUGCCCCCCCCCAUCUACUCCUUCGGGAUUGCGGGGGGCGGAUGAUGGCCUCCCGUGCGCCUAGCCGCGCGGUUGGCAUAAAUACCAAGUCCUCGGCGACGCACGCCACGACAAUCGGUGGUUGCGAAACCUCGGUUGCCCGUCGUGUGCGUUCGUCGCGCAUCGAGGGCUCGAAAAAUGCUCGGCUCCGGCUCGGCUUUCAACGCGACCCCAGGUCAGGCGGGGUUACCCGCUGAAUUUAAGCAUAUCAAUAAGCGGAGGA
RNAcentral lists this unclassified non-coding RNA (391 nucleotides) under soil metagenome. RNAcentral describes it as "partial contains 5.8S ribosomal RNA, internal transcribed spacer 2, and large subunit ribosomal RNA". The stretch from base 1 to 122 matches the Rfam family "5.8S ribosomal RNA", at positions 35 to 154 of the family's 154-position model. The record is from RNAcentral.